CGAGGGGUGCAAGCGUUGCUCGGAAUUAUUGGGCGUAAAGGGUAGGUAGGUGGUCUCAUUUGUCAGGGGUGAAAGCCUUGGGCUUAACCCAAGAAGUGCCCCUGAAACGGUGAGACUGGAGUCCUGGAGAGGGUCGUGGAAUUCCCGGUGUAGCGGUGAAAUGCGUAGAGAUCGGGAGGAACACCAGAGGCGAAGGCGGCGACCUGGACAGGUACUGACACUCAACUACGAAAGCGUGGGGAGCAAACAGGAUUAGAUACCCUGGUAGUCCACGCUGUAAACGAUGGGAACUAGGUUUGGUGGGUCUUGACCCCCGCCGAGCCGUAGCUAACGCGAUAAGUUCCCCGCCUGGGAAGUACGGUCGCAAGACUA
Molecule: ribosomal RNA, 372 nt
Filed under: uncultured organism
Description: bacterial SSU rRNA
Rfam family: Bacterial small subunit ribosomal RNA
Source: RNAcentral